RNAcentral lists this ribosomal RNA (253 nucleotides) under uncultured bacterium. RNAcentral's name for it is "partial 16S ribosomal RNA". It matches the Rfam family "Bacterial small subunit ribosomal RNA", at positions 524 to 776 of the family's 1533-position model. The record is from RNAcentral.
UACGUAGGGUGCAAGCGUUGUCCGGAAUUAUUGGGCGUAAAGAGCUCGUAGGCGGUCUGUCGCGUCGGCUGUGAAAACCCGGGGCUCAACCCCGGGCCUGCAGUCGAUACGGGCAGACUAGAGUGUGGUAGGGGAGACUGGAAUUCCUGGUGUAGCGGUGAAAUGCGCAGAUAUCAGGAGGAACACCGAUGGCGAAGGCAGGUCUCUGGGCCACUACUGACGCUGAGAAGCGAAAGCGUGGGGAGCGAACAGG